UGGGGAAUAUUGCACAAUGGGCGAAAGCCUGAUGCAGCAACGCCGCGUGAGUGAUGAAGGUCUUCGGAUUGUAAAGCUCUGUCUUUUGGGACGAUAAUGACGGUACCAAAGGAGGAAGCCACGGCUAACUACGUGCCAGCAGCCGCGGUAAUACGUAGGUGGCGAGCGUUGCNCGGAUUUACUGGGCGUAAAGGGUGCGUAGGCGGAUGUUUAAGUGAGAUGUGAAAUACCCGGGCUUAACUUGGGUGCUGCAUUUCAAACUGGAUAUCUAGAGUGCAGGAGAGGAGAAUGGAAUUCCUAGUGUAGCGGUGAAAUGCGUAGAGAUUAGGAAGAACACCAGUGGCGAAGGCGAUUCUCUGGACUGUAACUGACGCUGAGGCACGAAAGCGUGGGUAGCAAACAGGAUUAGAUACCCUGGUAGUCCACGCCGUAAACGANUGAGUACUAGGUGUAGGAAGGUAUCGACCCCUUCUGUGCCGCAGUAAACACAUUAAGUACUCCGCCUGGGAAGUACGAUCGCAAGAUUAAAAC
This 531-nucleotide ribosomal RNA is filed under the name uncultured bacterium. Its description in RNAcentral is "partial 16S ribosomal RNA". It matches the Rfam family "Bacterial small subunit ribosomal RNA", at positions 355 to 900 of the family's 1533-position model. The record is from RNAcentral.